CCAAAUGUAAAAUUUUUGUUUAAUUAGAUAUGAAUUUGUUAGGCUCCUCAUUAUUUAAUAAUUAAUUCUAAUAAUGCAUGAAUGUUAUUAAUAACUUUGUAAGCUAAAUUUUUUUUAAGUUGUAGUUGUAUGAAGUUUAGAAUAUUUGUUACUUAUUUAUUAUAUAUAAAGGGCUAAUAUAAAACAAGUAUAAUGAAGAAAUAAAACUGAAAAAAUAGGGCUUAGAACUAGAUGUAUUCCCAUUUUUAUUCAAAAUUCUCAUUAAGCAUAAAAAUUUAAAAAUGUAAUGCCUAUUCAUGCAUACUAUAUUUUCCUCUAUCAUCCCAUCAAUGGGAUAAAAAGUAGUUCUUUAGAUGAGCAUCAUUCUCAUAUCUGAUUGAUGAAGAUGCAAAUUUUGAAAGAUCAUGGUGAUAAAUAAAUAAAUUUAUCAAAAGUCAGAAGUGUCAAUUGGGGUCGACGGGUCGGGUUUGGGUUGAACCAGAGUUGACCUGGGUCUAAACGGGUCAACCCAAACCUGACUCAUUUUUGCAAAUAGGUUAGACAUUUCAAGCCGGACUCGACUCGAGCGGGUUGCCGGGUUGACACGAUCUGACCCGCGCGGCAGAGGGCGGAGCUCGCCACAGUGUGAGUGCAGACGGAGCCCGCUGGACCGCACGACUGCGUGAGUUCGGACUUCAGACGAAGUCUGACAGUUCGCAAUACCGCGCGGUCUGUGCGUCCGAGACAGAGUCCAGGGGACCAAGGUCUGUGCAACGGCGCGACUACGUGAGUGCAAAUUGGGACCGAGCGUGCGGACAGAGUUCCUGCAUUCGCGGGAACGCGUGACAGCACGAGCGCGGUAGUGGGGAACGGAGCAAGGACGGCAGCGGGCGAUGGAGUGACUCACGAGUGCGGGCGGAAACUGGGAUGGACUUGACUUUCGGGUCAGUGUCGGGUAGAUUUAGGGUUUUCAGGUCAACCCGAACGCAACACGUUUUUUGAAACGGGUAAAAAAUUUGAACCCGAAUCUGACCCAUUUGCUAAACGGGUCUUGGUCAAAAAUUGACACCCCUAGCUAAAGUCCAACAUACCAAAUUAAUAUAGUUAAGGUGAUAGUAAACGUGAAUGCAUUAGUAACAUGAUUAGACAUGAUGAUAGCUCAAAUUUCUAGGAUAUUAUGUUUGUAUUUUUUAAUGUUUAUGGAAAUGUUAUCUGAAGUUGAGGUGGUGCUUAAUAUACUGUGCUACUCAAGAAUUUGUUAAUUACGAGGGGAUCGAUGAGGAAGAAAUUUUUUAGUAAAAUAACACAUAAAAUAAGGGCUAGGCUCAACAAUAGUCACCUCAUUAUUAACACCCACCAAAGCUAAUUCUUACACAUCAAUUGAAAAUCAAAGUAUUAAGUUUUAGCCAUUUGAAGAGGUGAGUGUAUUAUGUUAUUGAAAAUCUAUACUACUAUCAUAAAAGGGGAUUGAGUUUCGACCCACAGCAAAUCUUGACCAUCCAUUUCAUUCCAUCUUAAAUUAUCUUCACCAUCCAUUAUGUUAUAAAUAAUUAAUAAAUAAAAAAUUAAUAUUUUUAUAAUUUAAUGCUCCUAUUGAACUCUACAGUUAAAUCAACUGUGCGUGACCUUUCAUCUGGGAUAAAUCUACAACAUUUAUUUUAAAUGUUUCAUAUUCCAAUAGCUGAGAAAAUUUAUUACUUCCGGUACACAAAGCUUUCUCUAAUAUCAGAGUAUUUUCACUUGAUCCAGUAGCCCAAGGGUUGCCUCACUGCUGAGUCUUCUGCUGUCGAGCAGUUAAAACAGCAAAAUUAAACAUUACACCCUUCGAUUUAUUGCCGAUCGGUCUCCCCAAUAUUGAUUGAUUGUCAAACAUUUUCUCCAAUAUUGGAGCGUUUCAUUACCGACCAUCUGAUUUCAUGGCUCUUCAAGCUCUUCCCCAUCGGCUUCCCAUACAAAAGAGCUUUUGGAAGAGUCGCUAAAGGAGCUCCUCGCUUUCUUCUAAGAUUAUUGUUCCUGCGGAUAAAAAAUUACCACGAGAGGUCGCCACUUGCUUCGCGCCUUCACCUGAAGAAGAGUUUUGAAAGUGAUCAAUGUCCUCCAAAAGCUGUGAGAUGAUUCCAUAGCUCUGGGAAAUGGAGGCGAAUAAUGAGAAUGGGGUCAAGGAUGAUGAAGCAACCAGUUCGGCAAUAUCUGUUCUAGAAGACGAGUUUUUUUUUUUCUUUCAAUUUUAUGAUGAUUUUCUAUGAGAGAAAUAUUUGCGAUAGAGUUAGGCAAUGCUGAUCACGUCUCUAUAUUUUUUAUUUCAUUUGAUAUUUUUCCCCGCAUUUUAUUGUCUUCGAUGGUAUUCGGGAUGCAUAUUGAUUAUGGUUACAUGGCUAGCUUAAAUUCCAUAUUUUACAUGGUUUUUGGGUUU
Molecule: long non-coding RNA, 2392 nt
Organism: Dendrobium catenatum
Lineage: Eukaryota; Viridiplantae; Streptophyta; Magnoliopsida; Asparagales; Orchidaceae
Exons: 2
Source: RefSeq, a predicted model, not a curated record